Molecule: ribosomal RNA, 262 nt
Filed under: uncultured archaeon
Lineage: Archaea
Description: partial 16S ribosomal RNA
Rfam family: Archaeal small subunit ribosomal RNA
Source: RNAcentral
CAGCCGUAAACAAUGUGCGUUAGGUGUGUCGGUAACCACGCGUUACUGAUGCGCCGAAGAGAAAUCGUGAAACGCACCACCUGGGAAGUACGGUCGCAAGGCUGAAACUUAAAGGAAUUGGCGGGGGAGCACCACAACAGGUGGAGCCUGCGGUUUAAUUUGGACUCAACGCCGGGAAGCUCACCGGAUAGGACAGCAGAAUGAUUGCCGGGCUGAAGACUCUGCAUGACUAGCUGAGAGGUGGUGCAUGGCGUAGACGUCU